Molecule: ribosomal RNA, 253 nt
Filed under: uncultured bacterium
Lineage: Bacteria
Description: partial 16S ribosomal RNA
Rfam family: Bacterial small subunit ribosomal RNA
Source: RNAcentral
GACGAGUCUCACGAACGUUAUUCGGAAUUACUGGGCUUAAAGGGUGCGUAGGCGGUGGAGUAAGUCGGAUGUGAAAUACCAUAGCUUAACUAUGGAACUGCACUCGAUACUACUUUGCUUGAGUAAGACAGAGGUGAGUGGAACUGAGGGUGGAGCGGUGAAAUGCGUUGAUAUCCUCAGGAACACCGGUGGCGAAGACGACUCACUGGGUCUUUACUGACGCUGAUGCACGAAAGCUAGGGUAGCAAACGGG